CCCACAUAGUUAGAGACUUGACUCGUGCACAUGGAACUUAGUACACACACACAUCUGUGUGUGUGUGUGUAAGAUAUCCAAAGAAGCUGUCGCAUAUGUAACAUCGUGAUCAUACAUCUGUUGUCCGCCAUCUUGUCUCUCUGUAAACGCCUAUUGACAUGUAUACAGCUAUGAACGUUAUAUUUACCGCUCCACCAAGCUGAACGCGUAUAAUGCGCGCAUGCACGCGUGAGGUUUGCAGCAUAUUAACAAACAAAAACAACAAUAUCUGAACAAACAGCAACUACAACAACAACAAUAUCUGAACAAACAACAACAACAAUAGCUAUAACAAGAGAAAUAUGAAAAGAAUAGAAGAAUUUUAUCCGAAAUUAAAUCUUUCGCCAAAAGUUCCUGCGGAAACCAAAGGAUUGGUAUGGUGUUUUUCUUCUUAAACAAAGUGGACAGCUGCAGUGACCGGGAAAGAUAAAGACGAUAUAAACUGAAGACAACAAACAAAUAAAUGA
Octopus bimaculoides (California two-spot octopus) is the source of this 506-nucleotide long non-coding RNA. NCBI's taxonomy places the organism in Eukaryota, Metazoa, Mollusca, Cephalopoda, Octopoda, Octopodidae. The record is from RefSeq and is a predicted model, not a curated record.